UCCUACGGGGCGCAGCAGUGAGGAAUAUUGGUCAAUGGGCGCGAGCCUGAACCAGCCAAGUCGCGUGAGGGAAGACGGUCCUAUGGAUUGUAAACCUCUUUUGCCGGGGAGCAAGCUGGGUCACGUGUGACCCAGCUGAGAGUACCCGGAGAAAAAGCAUCGGCUAACUCCGUGCCAGCAGCCGCGGUAAUACGGAGGAUGCGAGCGUUAUCCGGAUUUAUUGGGUUUAAAGGGUGCGUAGGCGGACUGUCAAGUCAGCGGUAAAAUUGAGAGGCUCAACCUCUUCCCGCCGUUGAAACUGGUGG
This 305-nucleotide ribosomal RNA is filed under the name uncultured bacterium. RNAcentral's name for it is "bacterial SSU rRNA". It matches the Rfam family "Bacterial small subunit ribosomal RNA", at positions 337 to 639 of the family's 1533-position model. The record is from RNAcentral.